This 18558-nucleotide long non-coding RNA is filed under the name Homo sapiens (human). Its description in RNAcentral is "PREDICTED lncRNA (TCONS_00229681)". Lineage: Eukaryota; Metazoa; Chordata; Mammalia; Primates; Hominidae. The record is from RNAcentral.
UCCACUGGAGUCUAAGCUUGAUUCUCUGACACUGUUCUCUCAUUCUUCUAAAUCACAAUAUCCAACCUUUUGGCUUCCCUGGGCCCACUGGAAGAAGUGUCUUGGGCCAGACAUAAAAUACAUUGACACUAAUGACAGCUGAUAAGCUUAAAAAAAAAAAAGUCCAUGCAUAACUUUUGUUCUAUCACCACCACAGAAGGUCCAUGCAUAAUUUUUAUCAGCCACCACAGAUAAGCAAAGAGAGUCCUCAUAUUGAAAGGGUUAGAUACCACUGCUCUAAAGGCUAACAAAUGGAAUGAAUGAGGCAAAGGCAACCUCCUCUUUUCAGGAAAAUCUGAAAUUAUUCUUCCUUUUAUCCAUCAGACUAGCCUAAAGGAAAUCUGCUCUCUUCUUGGAAUGACAUUUCACGCAACAUUCCAUUUCUCUUGUGUUCAUCUGGACACUCAGAACUGCUGAAAACUGAUAAAUUAUGGCAACCAUAUUAAAUAUUGCUGAGCUCAGGCCAACGACUUCUUGAAAAGAGAGCAACGAGUCUAUUUGUAGUGACUGGAAUCUUUCAAUAUAGCUAUUGAUAACUAACACCCUGGGCAUAGUGUGUCUCCAACUUAUAGGUCCUGGAGUGGUUGCGAAUUAAGAGACACAAAAGAGGCAAUGAGAUCUCCCUCAAGCGCAGCCUCAGAAGAAUUGGAAAUGCAUAGGAGAGAUUUAUAAAACACAAGGCUGGCCCCCUACUCCAUCCUUAAAACAUCCAUACUUUUAGCCAUGGGUAAGUUGAUUUAACUAUCCCCAUAACCUUUUCUCCUCCCGACCCCCAUCCUUCUCCAGGGACCUACUGGAAGGAAGGAAAUUUGGUAGAUCUAUGUGCUGAGAGAUAAGUGGCCAUGUAAUGAGGUAGGUUAACAACAAUUGUUCCUGUAUAUAUUGUUGGCACACACAAAUGUGUUUGAUUUGGAGUAGGAACUGAUAACUUCUUUGGAUUUGAAUUUCUUCUGUCAGCAAUAGGAGAGAAGUUCAGUCAGAUGAUUUCUAUCUGUGGGAAUCCAACUUUGACUUGUGGUGAUCCUACCCCUUCCUCAGUCUUUUACAAAUUAAGUGGCCUCCUCACCUGAGACGAGUAGAACUGUAUGCACAGUAAGGCACCAGGACGGAUCUAGACUGGCAAAGAAGUGGUGAGAGAAAUGGGGAAAGGGUUAGGGAAGAAGGGAGAGGACUCUCAACUACAGUCAUAGUGAGACCUUGAGUGCCUCUGCGUUAGUCCUUCCUCUUCCUCUACUCCUUGUGUCUCAGCUGAAGGGCAAACUUCAGGGACAAUCUCAUUUUGUUUCUACCACUGUUCAGGGUCCCACCUUGCGACCCUCUCCUGAGAGGUUGUCCACAACUCUGUCCCACCCCCGUUCUCCAUCUUCUUCCGCCAGAUCUGGGGCUGGGGCAUUGGAGAGGGGAAAGAGGAAACGUCGUGGCUGGCAGGGUAGGAAGGGAUGCGUGUCCAGGUGAGAAAGAGGUGUGACGUGCAGAUGGGAUGCCCGCCGCUAUGACGCUGCCGAGACCCGCGGUGACUGCGUCAGAGUUUCACCCGGGGAGGUGAGCAGCAGCGGGACGGGGGAACGGCGGGGUAGCCAAGCAACGCCGGACGCGCUGACGUCGCCGGGGCGGCAAAACGUCCGCCCGGGCCCGAGGCGGGCGGAGGCAGCUGUGGUUACGUGCGGGGGGCCGGUGACGCAGUCGCGGGGCGCUGGGACGCGGCUUGCGGAGCCGGCCGGCGAGCGCAGGCCCCAGGCUCGGGCGCGGCGGCGGGACAGCACCUACCUUCCCGGCUUCGGGUCCGGGAGUGCGGGGCGCGGAGCCGCCGGAGCGCUGCCUCCCUCCUUCCUCCUCCCCUCGCCCCCGCCCCGCGGCGCGACACACAAUACUCGCCGGAAGCGGAAGCCGCGCCGAGGCUCGUGUCAGUGGAAGCUGGGGUGUCGGCGGGCGGCCGCGGCCGGGUCUAGCGGUGCCUGCGGAAGAAGGAGGAGGAGGGCUGGCGAUGAGAAGCAGCAGGGGGAAUCAAGGGCAAGAAGGGACCCAGAGGGGCAGGUGGCUGAGAUGCUGGCGUCCAGGUGACCCGAGGAAUCCUCUGGAGAUACAGGCCCGCGCAUGCGCGUGCUCGAGCGCUGAAGCCCAUUGCCCGCAGGGCGCUGGACUGGCGCCCCGGCCGGCGAGGCUGUCUAGUCCAGGCUCCAGGCCCCGGCUCUGGCCAGGCGCCGCCGCCUCCCGGUGCAGCUGAAAGUCGACGAAGAGGGCGGGGCGGGGGCGGCUUGUGGACUUCCACACUUUUCCUCUCUUCGGGCCAGUCUGGGGAGAGGGUGGCUAGCUGUGGCGGCGGCCAAUUACGUGGCGGACCUGCGGGGCUAAGCUGGCACGUCACUUCCGACUAGUGGAGUUUUUAGCCUUUUAACAUUCAAGGAUUAGGUAAGUUCUCCCCGCGGUAGACUUCAAAUACUCUUUGUCCUGCCCCUGCUUGGCGAAAUUUACCGAAAUUAUCUACCUAUCCCGCUGGAGUGGGAGCCGGGGGAGAGCUGGAACCGCGUCUCUGCUGCUCACCUUUGUGUCCUUAGCUCCUUCGCAUGGGGUCCGACCGCAACACGUGCGCUGGAUAAACGCUUGUUAACUGGGUAAAAGUCUUGCAGUGAAAAACCCGAGGACCCUUACCGCAAGUGUCUUUUGCUCCCAGCUACUGAUACUGGAUUCCACUCGUGAUUCUCCCUUUCUUAGCGCAUUCAUGAUAUAGACAUCAGUCUCUGAGCUGGAGGAGGACAAAGGCAGCGGUCCUGUGAAUUCUAUGCUCUAGCUUGGGUUAAGGGAUUUGGAAUUGCACUUGUUUCAGAGAGCUCCCUCUUUGCCCACUAGCAGGGCAUUAGCUGGUGCUGAAGACAGUGGCUGCUUGGCGAGCCUGGAUCUCCAAGUGACCCCCUCAGCAACUCCUGAUGAACAGGACUGAAGCCAAUAUUAAAGCAAGUCAACCAAAGGUUCUCUGGUGUAGACAAGACAGCAAAAGGACAGACUACCUUGUGGAACCUAGCAUUGUUCUCCUUCUGCAGCACUAAGUAACAUUUGUUCUCCGUUAAGAUCUUUGCAAACCACACACAAGAAUUGCUGGUCAUCCUGCCAAUAGAUGCUGCUCACAGAACCAAAUUUCCUGUGCUGAAUUGUCACUCAUGGGCUUGAGAGUAGGAGACUGGAGACCAAGGUGGCUAGAAUCCAGUUGGGCCUGAUGUCUCCCUGUUGAAAGGGCUCCUUGUGGAAUGAAUAGCACAUGGCUCCUGUGGUGGAUCUGAUAGUGGCAUAGCACCAAGUGAUGCAGGCCUGCCAGGGGCCACAGACACAGAAGAUGCUCCCGGGGUCCCCCAUGUACUCCAGACACACUGCAGGCCACCUCUCCCAGCAGGUUGCCAGUCAUGGGCCCCAUCAUCAUGACUUCUGUCCAAGGUACUGUGUGCAGAAAUGUGAUUGAGAUUCAAGUCAGGGCCUCUCUGCCCUUUUCCCUCCAGAAACAAAACCAAGAUAAUUUAUCCUGAACACGGUGAAAAAAGGAAGGGAGGGAGGAGAAAAAGUCCGGGUCUCACCUGGGAUUCUCUGUCUCCUGCAACAUGAAGGAUUUAGCCUGGGAGGAGGUGGUGAGAACUCUGGGAGAGAAAAAAGAAGGAAAGAAUAGUUUUACCCAUGCUGAAGUUAAUUUAAACCUUCACCUAGAGAAGCAAAAAAAAAAAACCCACACUUUCCCAUUUUGUGCCUCCCUUCCUAGAGUUUUAGCCAAAGGUUUAGCUAAGUAAUUGGUUUUACCAGCGCACUCACUCCUCCUAUCCCAAGUCUGUUUGACUCCCUCCCCAUCAUCCUCCUCACCUCUUUUCAGGCAGGGUGGGGAUAGCAGCAGGAGGAGAUUUUGGGAGCCUGGCAACUCCUGCAAGGACCGCAGGACAGCCCCUCUGUGGGGAUGCGUGGUGCCCCAUCUGCCGCCCUUCUGAAGAAUGCACUGCCUUCACUUUUUACUGUGUUAGAGUCCAUCCAGACUGUUCUAUCCAAAAAAGUUUCUUUUUCCCCCACAGGCAAUCAGGAAAUGAUUCCUUUCCCGACUGCUUCUGUCUAGUGCCUGGGAAUCUUGAGUCAAUCCCUCAGUAAGUCAGUGACUAGGGAAAUCCCUCUCUGAGCCUCCCAGUUCAUGUUGCUUAGGGAACCUGAUAUUUUCGUGAAACCUGCCUACACAUGGGCAGCCCAACAGCAGAACAAAUGGUGGUGACCAAAGUGAACAAAGAAGUAUAGUUGUGCCAGCUUCGUAGUUGCCCAUGUGGACAAGUCAGCAGGAUCAGGACACGAGGAAGAGUAAAUGUGAGACAGUCAAUGUGACUUCUGCGAUAAACAGAUUUUUAAACCCCGAAAUUUUGCAAAAUUUUGGUGAAACCUGAACUUUCUUCGUUGCAUAUACUGGCACUAUCUGUACCAUCAUACAACUGUCUCACAUUAAAGCUAUUUUUCUUGGGCACUGAUGAGUAAGGUUGGUAUAAGUUCCUCAGAUCAACAAAAACCCAUUUUCCUGUAAGUCUUACAUUUAGUAUUUAAGGAACUAAAACUUAAAUACAUUUUGUGAAAUGGUUGACACUUCACUGAUAAUGAUUUAUUGCUUGGAUUAAUAAAUUUUCCAAAAGUUGUCUUAUGUAGAAUAUGGUUUGCAACCAGCAGAACCAUUAAUCUAUACUGCAAUGAUAUGCACUAUGUAUAAUUGUUUAAAAGCCUCUACUUAAUGAUGUAAAAUGCUCUAUUUAAUUACACAUUUGGGUAAACUGUAUACUAACAUCUGAUGGCAUUUUUCCACUGUUUGUUGCUUUUUUCAAAUACUUUAUUGUACAAAGCUGUUCUUAAUAUUUUUCAAGUUUUUUUCUUUGAAUUUUGCUAAUGUUUUCCUUGAAUUAUGAGCACUGACAGAAUGUGCUUAGCACUUUUGGCUAUUCACACAGCUUUUGAGCAUGAUUUGCAUCCAAUAUUUACAUUGCUAGCAAUAAUAAGCCAUCUGUGAGUUUUGUCAAAAGUUAUUGGGGAUUUUUUAAAUUUUAGAAAUGCAAAUUAUUGUUUCUUUGAACUAACUCUUAUGCAGUUGCAAAGGCAUUUCCAGUUGUUAUAGUUUGUGUACAAUAUCAGGUGUUCCAGAUUAUGAUUCAUUAUUAAUAUCAUUGCUUCCUUGUUCCCUCUGAGGUCCAGAAGAUUCAUGUUUACAAUAUUUAGAAACAAUGUUAAAAAGGUAUCCAAAGUUUGUCACUUUAUUAUUAGUUUGUUCUUAAUAUUCUGUUUAAGUUUUUGAAUUCAUAGAUAUCAAAACGCUGCACAAUUAUGAUUUCCACAGGAAUAACAACACACUAACAAUAAGAACCAAAAACAGCAAAUAGGCUGCCUACAAGUUUUGACAAUAUUAGGAUAAUGAUAAUGACAGUUUUUCUAAAUCUCACAGUAAAGAAUGCAGCAACCCAGCAACACUGCUACCUGUGGCCUCAGGCUGCAGUGUCAGCUCUUCCCUGGGUCUCCAGCCUGCCAGUCUAACCUGAAAAUUAUGUACUUGCCAGCCCCCACAGUCACGUGAGUGAACUGGCCCAGGCUGGUCACCAGGGUCAGUUUCUCUGUGUGUCAUUAAUUCAUUCAGUCUUCAGCAGUCUCUUUGGAGCUGAGAUGUACCUACCAUCUGCCUUUUGGGUGCUUAGGGUGGAGAACCAGAAAAGUAUAACCUAGUGUGUAUCCUCAAAGAGCUAACAAUAUGGGGUGGUACCUAUAGGUCUGGAAACACUUUACUGACUCUGUGAGGCAUACCAGGAGACGUCAGAGAACAGUCCCUCCUCAAAUGCCAAAUGAGAUGCAGAAGAAAUAGUUUGCUCAAGUUCAUGGGCCAGAUAUCCCAGUGGUCAGGGAGUUUCAUGAAUGAGAUGGAACUUUGCAUGGAACCCGAGGGAUGUGUAUGAUUUGAGUAGAUGAAGAAAAUGAGACUUUCCAAGCAGCUAGAAGUUAGGGAGCAGCAAGAUGUGUGGUGGGAUUGAGCACAGUUGGUUCAGAGGAUAGACUGCAGUUUUAAUAAUUUGUAGUAAAUAUCUCCCAACUGUUUGGCACUAUUGGAGCAAGUUCUUGAAUGCCAAAUGAAGGCAUAAAUCAGUAAGAGGCAUAAUAAAAGGCUGAGCAGUGCUUGGCUUUUUACGAACUGAUCCUGAUAGGAGCAGCUGUUCAACAAAGUUGCCAGGUCACCGUUACAUAGUCCCUGCCUUCUAGGGGCUCACUGCCUACUGGGAGAGACAGUCUGAAAGUUGGUGGAGCAUGUAACUGUUGGAUGAGGAGUUUGAGCCUGUGGACUGUGGGACCCCCGAGGAGGGUGUGGCUACUCUAGGCAGAACAAUCCCACAGUUUAUUUAUAUUUAACCUUGAAAUUCAUUAGAGGAUUUUUCAGCAGAGGUUUGGUACUUGUUAAUGUUAAGGUUUGCAUUCUCUAGAACCUCAAGGAAAGCUGUACCGUGCAUAAUGUACCCUCUUAUGUUAAUGUUGUGUACUGUGAUCCUGUUUCAGGGACUUGCACUUAGGAAUCUGUUACAGUGAGCACAGAAGCAGACCUGUGGGCUCAUAGUCUUCACCCCCCACCCAUAUAUACAAGAUGAACAGAGUGGAGGUUAAACAACUUGACUAAACAACACAGUUCAUGGUAAAGCCCAAGACUGUACCUGCCCAUCCACUGCCUUUUCCAUGUAUCCUGGAACUGAGCAUAGACCUCUUCCCAGGCAGAGCUGACAGCAAGUAAAGGAGAUCAUAAUCAGGGGACCAAACAACUUUGUCUAAAGUGUGAAUGUCACCUAAGGAGAAGCUGUGAGAUCAGAAGGGUGGGGCAGAGGAGCAGACACCAUGAGGGAGAGUCCUUGGGGGUACAUCUGCCAGACUGACACUGUCUGGCCUGGGCAGUGGAGGGGCUAGCAGGAACCACAGGUACUGGUGGUGUGGCUACUACCGUUACAACUGCCUGUGCUUGGACAUGGACCCUCUGCAAUAUGCGGCAGUUUCAUUCAUUGCCCCCUACAUUCUACACCAAGUAGAAAUGGAAGGCAAUUGGAUACUUCACAGACAAGAUCUAAGUGGAGAAGGAAUGCGUCCUGUGGCUGCAGAGAUCCUUGGAGCUUGGAGGGGAGAGCUUGAGCCCCACUGAUGAUGACCUCCCACAGCUCGCCAACUCAGCCCUCCCUAAGUCCCCAUCGGGGGCCAAUUCUCACUCUGGGGUUGGGGGGACUCCACCAUAGCUCAUCCAUCAUAGGGAUGUUGGUAUCUACUGUGGGUUGGGUAGGGCCGAUGUGCUGAGGAUGGCUCCCCCACAAGCAAGAGAUGUGGAUUUGGGGAGCUUCCCAUCUUGUGUUGAAGGAACAUAACUCAGAAUAAUAAGAGCCAACUAUAACAAACCCACAGCCAACAUCAUACUGAAUGGGCAAAAGCUGCAGGCAUUCCCCUUGAAAAGUGGCACAGGAUAAGGAAGCCCUUUCUCACCACUCCUAUUCAAUAUAGUGUUGAAAGUCCUGAUCACAGCAGUCAGGCAACAGAAAUAAUAAAGGGCAUCCAAAUAGGAAGAGAGGAAGUCAAACUAUCCUUGUUUGCAGACAGUAUGAUUCUAUAUCUAGAAAACCCCAUAGCCUCAGCCCAAAAGGUCCUUCAUCUGAUAAUUUCAGCAAAGUUUCAGGAGACAAAAUCAGUGUACAAAAAUCACUAACAUUCCUAUACACAGUCGCCAAGCCAAGAGCCAAAUCAGGAGCACAAUCCCAUUCAUAAUUGCCACAAAAAAGAAUAAAAUACCCAGGAAUGCAGCUAACCAAGGAAGUAAAGGAUCUCUACAAUGAGAAUCACAAACGCUGCUCAAAGAAAUCAGAGAUGACACAAACAAAUGGAAAAACUUUCCAUGCUCAUGGCUAGGAAGAAUCAAUAUCAUUAAAGUGGCCAUACUACCCAAAGCAAUUUAUAGAUUCAAUGCUAUUCCUAUCAAACUAUCAAUUACAUUUUUCACAGAACUAGAAAAAACUUAAAAUUCAUAUGGAACCAAAAAGCCUGAGUAGUCAAGGCAAUCCUAAACAAAAAGAACAAAGGUGGAGGCAUCACAUUACCUAACUUCAAACUACAGGGCUACCAUGACCAAAACAGCAUGGUACUGGUACAAAAGCAGACACACAGACCAGUGGGACAGAAUAGAGAGCCCAAAAAUAAGGCCACAAACCUACAGCCAUCUGAUCUUCAACAAAGUUGACAAAAACAAGCAAUGGGGAAAGGUCUCCCUAUUCAAUAAAUGGUGCUGGGAUAACUGGCUGGCCAUAUGCAGAAGAUCGUAACUGGACCCCUUUUACUAUGUACAAAAAUUAAGAUGGUUUAAAGAGUUAAAACCCAAAAUUAUAAAAAUCCUGAAGAUAACUUAGGCAAUACCAUUCUGGACAUAGGAACUGGCAAAUAUUUCAUGAUGAAGACACCAAAAGCAAUUGUAACAAAAGCAAAAAUGGACAAAUUGGAUUUAAGAGCUUUUUCAUAGCAAAAUAAACAACAGGGCAGACAAUCUACCAAAUGACAGAAAAUUUUUGCAAACUAUGCAUCUGACAAGGGGCUAAUAUCUAGCAUCUAUAAGGAAUUUAAACACAGUUACAGGAAAAAAAAAACCCACUCCAUUAAAAAAUGGGCAAAGGACAUGAACAGACACUUUUCAAAAAAGACAUACAUACAGCCAACUAGCGUGUUAAAGAAAACCUCAAUUAUCACUGAUCAUUAGAGAAAUGCAAAAUCAAAACCAUGAUGAGAUAUCAUCUGCCAGUCAGGAUGGCUACAAAAAAGUAAAAAAAUAAUAGAUGUUGGUGAGGUUAUGGAGAAAAGGAACUUAUACACUUGUUAGGAGUGUAAAUUAGUUCAAUCACUGUGGACAGCAGUGUGGUGAUUCCUCAGAGAGCUAAAAACAACUACCAUUUGACUCACCAAUCCCAUUACUGGAUAUUUACCUAAAGGAAUAUAAAUCAUUCCACCAUAAAGACACAUGCAAGUGUAUGUUCAUUGCAGCACUAUUAACAGUAACAAAGCUGGGCACAGUGGCUCACCUCACGACUGUAAUCCCAGCACUUUGGGAGGCUGAGGUAGGCGGAUCACCUGAGGUCGGCAGUUUGAGACCAGCCUGACCAACAUGGAGAGACCCCAUCUCUACUAAAAAUACAAAAUUAGCCAGGUGUGGUGGCUCAUGCCUGUAAUCCCAGCUACUUGGGAGGCCAAGGCAGGAGAAUUGCUUGAACCCAGGAGGCAGAGGUUGCAGUGAGCCGAGAUCACACCAUUGCACUCUAGCCUGGUGAAGGAGCAAGACUCCAUCUCAAAAAAAAAAAAAAAAAAGAAAGAAAGAAAAAUACACAUUCAGAGGAGACAAAAAAUAAAAAACAAUGAUGCAUGCCCACAGGAUCUAGAAAAUAACUUCUUAAGGGCAAAUCUAGGAGUUAUUGGCCUUAAAGAAGAGAUAGAGAAAGAGAUAGGAAUAGAAAGUUUGUUGAAAGGGAUAAUAACAUAGAACUUCCUAAACCUACAGAAAGAUAUUUAUAUCCAAGUACAAGAAGGUUAUAGAACACCAGGCCAAUUUAACCCAAAGAUUACCUCAAGGCAUUUAAUAAUCAAACUCCCACAGGACAAGGGUAAAGAAAGGAUCCUAAAAGCAGCAAGAGAAAAGAAACAGAUAACAUACAAUGGAGCUCCAAUACAUCUGGCAGUAUAUUUUUCAGUGGAAACCUUACAAGCCAGGAGAGAGUGACAUGACAUAUGUUAAAGUGCUGAAGGGAAAAAACCUUUUACCCUAGAAUAGUAUAUCCAGCAAAAAUAUCCUUCAAACAUGAAGAAUAAACAAAGACUUCCCCAGACAAACAAAAGCUGAGGGAUUUCAUCAACACUAGACUGGUCCCAUAAGAAACGCUUAAGGGAGUACUUUGGUCAGAAAGAAACAGACAUUAAUGAGCAACAAAGAAUCAUCUAAAGGUAAAAAACUCACUGUUAAGAGUAAGUACACAGAAAAACCCAAAGUGUGAUAACAUUGUAACUGUGGUGUGUAAGUAGAAAGAAUAAAUGAUAAACCAAUCAAAAAUAGUAACUACAACUUUUCAAGACCAGUCAGAAAAAUAAGAUAAAAUUAGAAACAACAAAAAGUUAAAAAGUGGGGGGAUGAAGUUAAGAUGUAGAGUUUUUAUUAGUUUUUUGUUUGUUAAUGCAAACAGUGUUACCAGGUUAAAAUAAUGGGUUACAAAAUAGUAUUUGUAAUCCUUAUGGUAACCUCAAACCUAAAAACAUACACUGGAUACAUAAAAAAUAAAAAGCAAAAACCUAAAUCAUAUCACCAGAGCAAACUACCUUCCCUAAAGGAAGACAGGAAGAAAAGAAAGAAGAAGACCACAAAACAACCAGAAAACAAAUAAAUAACAAGGCAGGAGUAAGUCUUUACUUAUCGAUAAUACAUUGAAUGGAAAUAUGGACUAAACUCUCCAAUCAAAAGACAUAGACUGGCUGAAUGAAUGGAGAAAACAAGACCCAUUGAUCUGUUGCCUACAAGAAACACACUUAAACUAUAAAGACACACAUAGGCUGAAAGUAAAGAGUUGGAAAGAGUUAUUCCAUGCCAAUGGAAACCAGGAAAAAGAGAAGGAGUAUUGAUUUUGAUACAAAAACUAUGAGACAAAUAAAGUCACUAUACAAUGAUAAAGGGGUUAAUAUGGUUUCCAUUUGUGCCCCACCCAAAUUUCGUGUUCUAUUGUAAUCCUCAAUGUUGGAGGUGGGGCCUGGUGGGACGUGAUUAGAUCAUGGGGGUGGAUCUUUCAUGACUAAUUCAGCACCAUCUUCUUAGUGCUGUUCUCAUGAUAGUGAGUUCUUCUGAAAUCUGGUUGCUUAAAAGUGUGUAGCACCUCUCCACACCACCCGCUUGCCUUGGUCUACUCCUGCUAUGUAGAUGCUUGCUCCCACUUUGCAUUAUUCCAUGAGUAAAAGCUCCCUCAGGCCUUCCCAGAAUCAGAUGCCGCUAUGCUUCCUGAACAGCCUGUGGAACUAUGAGCCAAUUCAACCUCUUUUCUUCAUAAAUUAACAAGUCUUGGGUAUUUCUUUAUAGCAGUGUGAGAACAGAAUAAUACAGAAAAUUGGUAAAGAGGAGUGAGGCAUUGCUAGAAAGAUACCUGAAAAUGUGGAAACAGCAGUGGAACUGGGAAAUAGACAGAGGUUGGAAGAGUGUGGAGGGCUCCGAAGAUAGGAAGAUGAGGGGAAGUUUGGAAUUUCUUAGAGAUUUGUUAAAUUGUUUUGACCAAAAUACUGAUGGUGAUAUGGACAAUGAAGUCCAGGCUGAGGAGGUCUCAGAUGGAGAUGAGGGACUUAUUGGGACCUGGAGUGAAGGUCACUUUUGUUAGGACAUUGUGGUUGGAGACAUUGUGCCCCUGCCCUAGGAAUCUGUGGAACUUUGAACUUGAGAGCGAAGAUUUAGGGUAUCUGGCAGAAGAAAUUUCUAAGCAGCAAAGCGUUCAAGACGUGGCCUGGCUGCUUCUGGUAGUCUGUGCUCAUAUUUGUGAGCAAAGACAUGACAAGAAACUGGAACUUAUAUUUAAAAAGGAAGCAGAGUGUAAAAGUUUGGAGAAUUUGCAGCCUGGCCAUGUUGUAGAAAAGAAAAAAACCAUUUUCUGGAGAGGAAUUCAAGCUAGCUGCAGAAAAUUGCAAGUAACAAGGAGCAAAAUGUUGAUAGCCAAGAUAGUGGGAAAAACACCUUGAAGGCAUUUCAGAUACCUUGGGGGCAGCCUCUCCCAUCACAGGCCCAAAGGCCUAGGAGGGAAGGAUGGUUUCCUGGGCCAGGCUCAGGGUCCUGCUGCCCUGCACAACCUCAGGAAACUGCUCUCCAAAUCCCAGCUGCUCCAGCUCCAGCUUCAGCUCAAAGGGCCCCAGGUAUAGCUCAGGCUGCUGCUCCAUAGGAUGCAAGUUAUAAGCCUUAGUGGCUCCCGUGUGGUGUUAAAUUAAGCCUGUAGGUGCACAGAGUGCAAGAAUUGAGGCUUGGGAGCCUCCAACUAGAUUUCAGAGUAUGUGUGGGAAAGCCUGGAUGUCCAGGCAGAAGCCAGCUGCAGGGACAGAGCCCUCAUGGAGAACCUCUACUAGGGUAGUGUGGAGGGGAAAUUUGGGGUUGGAGUUCCCACACAGCUUCCCCUCUGGUGUACUGCCUAGUGGAGCUGUGAGAAGACAGCCACUGUCCUCCAGAUUCCAGGAUGAUAGAUCUGCCAAUGACAGCUUGCACUGUACAACUGGAAAAGCCACAGGCAGUCAAUGCCAGCCCGUGAAAGCAGUGACAGUGGCUUACCCUGCAAAGUCCCAGGGGCUGAGCUGCCCAAGGCCUUGGGAGCCCACCCCUUGCACCAGUGUGCCCUGGAUGUGAGAUAUGGAGUCAAAGGAGAGUAUUUUGGAGCUUUAAGAUUUAAUGACUACCUGCUGGGUUUCAGACUUGCAUGGGUCCAGUAGCCCCUUUCUUUUGGCCAAUUUCUCACUUUUGGAAUGGGAGUGUUUACCCAAUUCCUGUACCCCCACUGUAUGUUGGAAGUAACUAACUGUUUUUUUAUUUUGUAAGCUCACAGGUGGGAGAGACUUGCCUUGUCUCAGGUUGAGACUCUGGACUUUGGACUUUUGAAUUAAUGCUGGAAUGAGUUAAGACUUUGAGGGACUGUUGGGAAGAUAUAACUGUAUUUUGCAGUAUGAGAAGGACAUGAGAUUUGGGAGACACCAGAGGUGGAAUAAUAUGAUUUGGAUCUGCAUCCCCACCAAAAUCUCAUGUUCAAUUGUAAUCCUAAAUUUUGGAGGUUGAGCCUGGUGGAAGAGGAUUGGAUAAUGGGGGUGGUUUCUCAUGGUUUAACACCAUCCCCCUGGGUGCUGUUCUCAUGACAGUGAGUGAGUUAUUGUGAGAUCUGAUUGUUUAAAAGUGUGUGCCACCUCCUCCCACUUUCCUCCUGCUCCAGCCAUGUAAGACAGGCUUGCCUCCCCUUCACCUUUUGUCAUGAUUGUAAGUGUUCUGAGGCCUCCCCAGCCAUGCUUCCUGUACAGCCUGCAGAACUGUGAGCCAAUUAAACCUCUUUUCUCUAUAUAUUACCCAGUCUCGGGUAUUUCUUUAUAGCAGUGCAAGAAUAGACUAAUACAGGGUUCAAUUCAGCAAGAGGAUAUAACAAAUAUAAAUAUAUAUGCACUCAACACUGCAGCACCCAGAUAUAUAAAGCAAAUACGAUUAGAGCUAAAGAGAGAGAGUGACCCCAAUACAAUAAUAGCUGGAGACUUCAACACCACAUUUUCAGCACUGGACAGAUCUUCCAGACAGAAAAUAAAAAAGAAACAUCAGACUUAAUCUGCACUGUAGAUCAAAUGGAUCUAAUACAUACUUGCAGAACAUUUUAUCCAAUGGCUGCAGAAUACACAUUCUUUUUUAGCACAUGUAUCAUUCUCAAGGAUAGACCAUAUGUUAGGUCACAAGUCUUAAAACAUUAAAAAAGUUGAAUACCAUCAAGCAUCUUCUCUGACCACAGUGGAAUACAACUAGAAACUAAUAACAAGAGGAAUUUUUGAAACUACAAAUACAUGAAAAUUAAACAAUAUGCUCCUGAAUGACCAUUGAGUCAAUGAAGAAAUUAAGAAGGAAAUUGAACAAUUUCUUGAAACAAAUGAUAAAGGAAACACAACAUACCAAAACCUAUGGGAUACGGCAAAAGCAGUACUAAGAGGCAAAUUGAUAGCUAUAAGUGCCUACAUGAAAAAAGAGGAAAAACUUCAAAUAAGCAAUUUAACAAUGAACCUUAACCAGAAAAGCAAGAGCAAAACAAACACAAAAUUAGAAGAAAACAAAUAAUAAAAAUUAGAGCAUAAAUAAAUAAAAUUGAAAUAAAAAUCAAUGCAAAAGAACAAUGAAACAAAAAGUUGCUUUUUUUCAAAAGUUAAACAAAACUGACAAGCCUUUAGCAAGACUGAGAAAAAAGAGACAAGAUACAAAUCAGAAAUGAAAAAGACAUUACAACUGACACUGCAGAAAUUCAAAGGAUCAUUAGGGGCUACUAUGAGCAACUCUAUGCCAAUAAAUUGGAAAAUCUAGAAGAAAUUGACAAUUCCUAGACACAUACAACCUACUGAGACUGGACCAGGAAGAAAUCCAAAACCUGAACAGACUAAUAACAAGUAACAAGGUUGAAGCCAUAAUAAAAAGUCUCCCACUAAAGAAAACCAAGGACCCGAUGGCUUCACUGUUGAAUUCUACCAAACAUUUAAAGAAGAACUAAUACCAAUCCCACUCAAGCUAUUGAAAAAUAGAGGAGGAGAGAAUAUUUCCAAAGUCAUUCUAGGAGACCAGUAUCACCCUGAUACCAAAACCAGACAAAGACACAUCAAAAAAAGAAAACUGCUGGCCAAUUUCUCUGAUGAAUAUUGAUGCCAGAAUCCUCAGCAAAAUAUUAGCAAACUAAAUUCAACAAUACAUUAAAAAGAUCAUUCAUCAGGGUCGGGUGCAGUGGCUUAAGCCUCUAAUCCCAGCACUUUGGGAGGCCGAGGUGGGCAGAUCACCUGAGGUCAGGAGUUCAAGACCAGCCUGACCAACAUGGUGAAACCUCGUCUCUACUGAAAAUACAAAAUUAGCCGAGUGUGGUGGUGCAUGCCUGUAAUCCCAGCUACUCAGGAGACUGAGGCAGGAGAAUCACUUGAACCCAGGAGGUGGAGGUUGCAGUGAGCUGAGAUUGUGGCACUGCACUCCAGCCUUGGUGACAGAGUGAGACUCCAUUAAAAAAAAAAUCAUUUAUCAUGACCAAGUGGGAUUUAUCCCUGGAAUGCAAGGAUGGUUCAACACAUGCAAAUCAAUCAAUGUAAUACAUCAUAUCAAAAAGAAUGAUUAAAACCAUAUGAUUAUUUCUAUUGAUGCUGAAAAAGUAGUUUAUAAAAUCCAACAUCCCUUCAUGAUAAAAACCCUCAAAAAACUGUAUAAAAGAAAUAUACCUCAACGUAAUAGCCAGAUAUGACAGACCCACAGCUAGUAUCAUACUGAAUGGGGAAAAAGUGAAAGACUUUCCUAUAAGAUCUGGAACACAACAGGGAUGUUCACUGUCACCACUGUUAUUCAACAAAGUACUGGAUGUUCUAGCUAGAGCGAUCAGACAAGAGAAGAUAUAAAGGCCAUCCAAACUGGAAAGGGAGAAGUUAAAUUACCCUAGUUUGCAGAUGAUAUGAACUUAUAUUUGGAAAAAACCUAAAGGCUCCACAGGAAAACUAUUAGAAUCAAUAAAUUCAGUAAAGUUGCAGGACACAAAAUCAACAUAUAAAAACCAGUAGCAUUUCUAUAUGUCAACAGUGAACAAUUUGAAAAAUUUUAAAUUUAAGAAGGUAAUUUCAUUUACAAUAGCCACACAUAAAAUUAAAUACCUAGGAAUUAACCAAAAAUGUGCAAGAUAUCUAUGAGGAGAAUUAUAAAACAUUGAUGAAAGAAAUUGAAGAGGACACAAAAAAAAUGGAAAAAAUUCCAUCUUUAUGGAUUGGAAGAAUCAAUAUUGUUAAAAUGUCCAUACUACCCAAAGCAAUCUACAGAUUUAAUGCAAUCCCUAUCAAAAUACCAAUAAUAGUCUUCAGAGAAAUAGAAAAAAAAAUCCCAAAAUUUAUAUGAAAACACAGAAUGCCCAGAAUAGCCAAAAUUAUAUUAAGCAAAAAGAUCAAAACUGGAGGAAUCACAUUACCUGACUUCAAAUUAUGCUACAGAGCUAUAAUCACCAAAACAGCAUGGUACUGACAUAAAAACAGACACAUAGUCCAACAGAACAGAAUAGAGAACCUAGAAACAAAUCCACACACUCACAGGGAACUCAUUUUUGACAGAGUUGCCAAGUACUUAUACUGGAGAAAAGAAAAGACAGUCUCUUCAAUGAAAUGGUGCUGGGAAAACUGGAUAUCCAUAUGCAGAAGAAUGAAACUAGACCCCUACCUCUCACUGUAGACAAAAGUCAAAUCAAGGCUAGGCAUGGUGGCUUACACCUGUAAUCUCAGCACUUUGGGAGGCUGAGGCAGGCGUAUCACGAGGUGAAGAGAUUGAGACCAUCCUGACCAACAUGGUGAAACUCACCCCCCCCCACCCACUAAAAAUACAAAAAUUAGCUGGGCGUGAUGGCAUGUGCCUGCAGUCCUAGCUACUCAGGAGGCUGGGGCAGGAGAAUCGCUUGAACCCAGGAGGUGGAGGUUGCAGUGAGCUGAGAUUGUGCCACUGCACUCCAGCCUGGCGACAGAGCAAGACUCCAUCUCAAAAAAUAAAAAAUAAAUUCAAAAUGUAAUAAAGACUUAAAUCUAAGACCUCAAACAUGAAACUACUAUAAGAAAACAUUGGGGAAAACCUCCAGGACAGUAGUCUGGCCAAAAAUUUCUUGAGCAAUACCCCACAAGCACAGGCAACCAAAAUAAAACUGGACAAAUAGUAUCACAUCAAGUUUAAAAGCUUCUACAAAGCAAAGGAUACAAUCAAUAAAGAGACAACCCACAGAAUGGGAGAAAAUAUUUGCAAACUACCCAUCUGACAAAGAAAUAAUAACCAGAGUAUAUAAGAAGCUCAAACAACUCUAUAGUAAAAAAAAAAAAAAAAAAAAUUCUAAAAGUCUAAGUAAAAAAAUGGGCAAAAGAUUUGAAUAGACAUUUCUCAAAAGAAGACAUACAGGCCAUGCGUGGUGGCUCAUGCCUGUAAUCCCAGCACUUUGGGAGGCCCAGGCGGGUGGAUCACUUGAGGUCAGGAGUUCGAGACCAGCCUGACCAACAUUGUGAAACUCCGUCUCUACUAAAAAUACAAAAAUAAGCCAGGCAUGGUGGCGCACACCUGUAAUCCCAGCUACUCAGGAGGCUGAGGCAGGAGAAUCGCUUAAACCUGGGAGACAGAGGUUGCAGUAAGCCGAGAUCACACCACUGCACUCCAGCCUGGGCAACAAAGUGAGACUCCGUCUCACAAAAAAAAAAAAAAAAAAAAAAAAAAAAGAAAAGAAAAAGGAAGAAGACAUACAAAGCCAGGUACAGUGGCUUAUGCCUCUAAUCCUAGCACUUUAGGAGGCCAAGGCAGAUGGAAUUGAGCCCAGAAGUUUGAGACCAGACUGAGCAAUAUGGUCAAACCCCAAUUCUGCAAAAUACAAAAAUAAAAAAUAGCUGGGAGUGGUGGUGCACACCUGUAGUCCCAGCUACUUAGGAAGCUGAGAUGGGAGGAUCACUUGAGCCUGCAGUGAAUCAUAAUUGCACCAAUGCACUCCAGCCUGGGCGACAGAGUGAGAGACAUUGUCUCAAAAAAAAGAAAAAGAAAAAAAAGAAAGGACAUAAAAAUGACAAACAGGCAUAUGAAAAGGUGCUGAUGAUUAUUGAUCCUCAGAGAAAUGCAAAUCAAAACUGCAAUGAGAUAUAAUCUCACCCCAGUUAAAAUGGCUUAUAUCCAAAAGACAGGCAAUAACAAAUGCUGGUGAGGAUGUGGAUAAAAGGGAACCCUCGUACACUGUUGAUGGGAAUGUAAAUUAGUACAACCACUAUGGAUAACAGUUUAGAGGUUCCUCAGAAAACUAAAAAUUGAGUUGCGAUAUGAUGCAACAAUCCUACUGCUGGGUAUAUACCCCACAAAAGACAAAACCAGCGUUUUGCAUGGUGGCUCACACCUGUAAUCCCAGCACUAUGGGAGGCCGAGGAGGGCAGAUCACUUGAGCCCAGAAGUUCAAGACCAGCCCGAGCAACAUGGCAAAACCUGAUUUCUACAAAAUACAAAAAAAAAAUUAGGCAGUUGUAGUGGUUCACACCUAUAGUCCUAGCUACUGUGGAGGCUGAGGUAGGAUCACUUGAACCUAGGAGGUGGAGGUUGCAGUGAGCCAAGAUCAUGCCACUGCACUCCAGCCUGGGUGACAAAGUGUGACCCUGUCUCAAAAAAGAAAAUCAGUAUAUGGAAGAGGUAUCUGCACUCCUAUGUUUUUUACAACACUGUUUACAAUAGCUAAGAUUUGGAAGCAACCUAAAUGUCUAACAGCAGAUGAAUGGAUAAGGAAAAUUUGGUAUGUAUACACAAUGAAGUACUAUUCAGCCAUAAAAAGGAAUGAGAUCCAGUCAUUUGCAACAGCAUGGAUGGAAGUGGAGAUCAUUAUGUUAAAUGAAAUAAGCCAGGCACAGAAAGGCAAACAUGGCAUGUUCUCACUUAUUUGUGGGACCUAAAUUCAAAACAAUUGAACUAAUGGACAUAAAGAGUAGAAGAAUGGUUACCAGAGGCUAGGAAUGGUAGUGGGGGGCUGAAGGGAAGGUGGGGAUGUUUAAUCGGUAAAAAAAAAUUUAGAAGAAUAAGACCUACUAUUUGAUAGCACAAUAGGGGGACUAUAGUCAAUAAUGCACAUUUAAAAAUAGUGUAAUUGAAUGGUUUGUAACUCAAAGGAUAAAUGCUUGAGGGAAUGGAUACCCCAUUCUCCAUGAUGUGCUUAUUUCACAUUGCAUACCUGUAUCAAAACAUCUCAUGUACCCCAUAAAUAUAUGCAGCUAUUAUGUACCCAC